RNAcentral lists this ribosomal RNA (496 nucleotides) under uncultured bacterium. RNAcentral's name for it is "partial 16S ribosomal RNA". It matches the Rfam family "Bacterial small subunit ribosomal RNA", at positions 28 to 506 of the family's 1533-position model. The record is from RNAcentral.
GAUGAACGCUGGCGGCGUGCCUAAUACAUGCAAGUCGAGCGAACGGACGAGAAGCUUGCUUCUCUGAUGUUAGCGGCGGACGGGUGAGUAACACGUGGAUAACCUACCUAUAAGACUGGGAUAACUUCGGGAAACCGGAGCUAAUACCGGAUGAUAUUUUGAACCGCAUGGUUCAAAAGUGAAAGACGGUCUUGCUGUCACUUAUAGAUGGAUCCGCGCUGCAUUAGCUAGUUGGUAAGGUAACGGCUUACCAAGGCAACGAUGCAUAGCCGACCUGAGAGGGGGAUCGGCCACACUGGAACGGAGACACGGUCCAGACUCCUACGGGAGGCAGCAGUAGGGAAUUUUCCGCAAGGGGGGAAAGCCUGACGGAGCAACGCCGGGGGGGUGAUGAAGGUCUUCGGAUCGUAAAACUCUUUUAUUAGGGAAAAAAAAUUGUGAAAGUAACUGUCCACAAUUUGACGGUACCUAAUCAAAAAGCCACGGCUAACUACGU